UACGUAGGGUGCAAGCGUUGUCCGGAUUUAUUGGGCGUAAAGAGCUCGUAGGCGGUUUGUCGCGUCGGAUGUGAAAACCCAGGGCUCAACCCUGGGCCUGCAUUCGAUACGGGCAGACUAGAGUAUGGCAGGGGAGACUGGAAUUCCUGGUGUAGCGGUGAAAUGCGCAGAUAUCGGGAGGAACACCGGUGGCGAAGGCGGGUCUCUGGGCCAAAACUGACGCUGAGGAGCGAAAGCGUGGGGAGCGAACAGG
Molecule: ribosomal RNA, 253 nt
Filed under: uncultured bacterium
Lineage: Bacteria
Description: partial 16S ribosomal RNA
Rfam family: Bacterial small subunit ribosomal RNA
Source: RNAcentral